This is a long non-coding RNA of Corapipo altera (White-ruffed manakin), 481 nucleotides long. RefSeq lists it as uncharacterized. NCBI's taxonomy places the organism in Eukaryota, Metazoa, Chordata, Aves, Passeriformes, Pipridae. The transcript is spliced from 3 exons. The record is from RefSeq and is a predicted model, not a curated record.
GGCUGCUGCCAUCAACCCACAGCAGUUCAAGCAGGAAUACCGUGAAGGCUUUGGAGACAUCCAAUAAACCGUGGAAGCUAAAUCUCUUCCCAUAAAACCGCAAACUUUUCCAGUUGAGAGAGAAGUCUUUUGGUGCUAUCAAGUAUCACUGCAGAGGAGAAAUAAAACAGCACUGAGCUGUCAUUGAAAAUCUGUCUCAGGCUAUUGGAAACACAACAGGGCAGGGAGGGAGAUGUGCUGUCCUUAAUAUUUCACUGCAUACAGUCAGAAGAUCACCAUCUCCUUCCUUUCAUCUUUGAAGAAUACAUUUCAUCUUAAGAAUAUCUUUGGGGGAAAAUACAGUGGUGUUUGGGCCAGAGGAAUCGGACUGUGUAGCAUUGGAGAUGUGCUCCAGCACGGCUCACGGGAGCAGAAGGUGCUGCUGAGGCUGCUGUCACAAGGGGGAGGCAGCAACUAGUGAUAUGAAGCACCAACUGCUGUA